GAAAUGCGAUAAGUAGUGUGAAUUGCAGAAUUCAGUGAAUCAUCGAAUCUUUGAACGCACAUUGCGCCCCUUGGUAUUCCAUGGGGCAUGCCUGUUCGAGCGUCAUUUGUACCCUCAAGCUCUGCUUGGUGUUGGGUGUUUGUCCCGUCUCCGCGCGUGGACUCGCCCCAAAGUGAUUGGCAGCCGGCGUACUGGUCCCGGAGCGCAGCACAUGUCGCGCAAACGAGUGCCUUGGUACGGCGGCGUCCAUAAGCCCCUCUCUCACGCUCUUGACAUCGGAUCAGGUAGGGAUACCCGCUGAACUUAAGC
Molecule: unclassified non-coding RNA, 309 nt
Filed under: plant metagenome
Description: partial contains 5.8S ribosomal RNA, internal transcribed spacer 2, and large subunit ribosomal RNA
Rfam family: 5.8S ribosomal RNA (bases 1-105)
Source: RNAcentral